GUGCCGGGACGACCCGGCAGCCUUCAUCCUGAUCGAAGGGGACGACCCCU
This 50-nucleotide non-coding RNA is filed under the name Oceanibaculum pacificum. Its description in RNAcentral is "Guanidine-II sequence". It matches the Rfam family "Guanidine-II riboswitch aptamer (mini-ykkC)". Rfam says of the family: Simpler in structure and has fewer highly conserved nucleotide positions than the ykkC-yxkD leader. Despite this each of its two stem-loop structures directly bind free guanidine. The record is from Rfam by way of RNAcentral. Lineage: Bacteria; Pseudomonadati; Pseudomonadota; Alphaproteobacteria; Rhodospirillales; Oceanibaculaceae.